CCUACGGGGAGCAGCAGUGAGGAAUAUUGGUCAAUGGACGCAAGUCUGAACCAGCCAUGCCGCGUGCAGGAAGACGGCUCUAUGAGUUGUAAACUGCUUUUGUACGAGGGUAAACGCAGAUACGUGUAUCUUUCUGAAAGUAUCGUACGAAUAAGGAUUGGCUAAAUCCGUGCCAGCAGACGCGGUAAUAAGGAGGAUUCCAGGGUUUACCGGAUUUAUUGGGUUUAAAGGGUGCGUAGGCGGGAGGAUAAGGUAGAGGUGAAAUCCCGGGGGUCAAAGUCCGAAUUGCCUUGGAUACUGGUCGGCUAGAGAGUAGUAGCGGUAGGCGGAAUGUAGGGUGUAGCGGUGAAAUGCUUAGAGAUCAUACAGAACACCGAUUGCGAAGGCAGCUUACCAAGCUACUUCUGACGUUGAGGCACGAAAGCGUGGGGAGCAAACAGGAUUAGAUACCCUUGUAGUC
Molecule: ribosomal RNA, 460 nt
Filed under: uncultured bacterium
Lineage: Bacteria
Description: partial 16S ribosomal RNA
Rfam family: Bacterial small subunit ribosomal RNA
Source: RNAcentral